CAGAUUUAGAAGCAAUACAGGAAUAAAGAAUUAAAUAACCGUAAAAAAGACUCUUGUUCUACGUACAAACACAGGCUAGGCAGGCUUCACCGAUCAGCAGCAACCUCUGCAAUACGCGAAAAAAGAAAAGAAAGAAAACAAACACGUUGAGGGGAAGAAAUGAUAAUGAUCAGAUUGCAUAGCCACCGUCGCAAGAACAGCUACCGGAGCCGCUGUUGAUAUCGCCGUGUGAGCGUGGUUUGGUACUGAGACAGCAACACAUUAGACCUAUCAAUAGCAUUAAAACCCAAGCAGAGGCUAUAGCUUCUGCCCAGUUCAUAUAAUGCUCCAUCUGCAAACACUGAUGAACAAGAACCGGGAUCCAAGUUUAUUGCUGCUCAUGGCAACAUGGUAUCAUAGUGUCUGCCCUUU
This 411-nucleotide long non-coding RNA is filed under the name Manihot esculenta (cassava). RNAcentral describes it as "long non-coding RNA (MESC_LNC005583)". Lineage: Eukaryota; Viridiplantae; Streptophyta; Magnoliopsida; Malpighiales; Euphorbiaceae. The record is from RNAcentral.